AAAAGCAUCGGCUAACUCCGUGCCAGCAGCCGCGGUAAUACGGAGGAUGCGAGCGUUAUCCGGAUUUAUUGGGUUUAAAGGGUGCGUAGGCGGGCUUUUAAGUCAGCGGUAAAAAUUCGGGGCUCAACCCCGUCCGGCCGUUGAAACUGGCGUUCUUGAGUGGGCGAGAAGUACGCGGAAUGCGUGGUGUAGCGGUGAAAUGCAUAGAUAUCACGCAGAACCCCGAUUGCGAAGGCAGCGUACCGGCGCCCUACUGACGCUGAAGCACGAAAGCGUGGGUAUCGAACAG
Molecule: ribosomal RNA, 289 nt
Filed under: uncultured bacterium
Lineage: Bacteria
Description: partial 16S ribosomal RNA
Rfam family: Bacterial small subunit ribosomal RNA
Source: RNAcentral